Molecule: ribosomal RNA, 1439 nt
Filed under: uncultured bacterium
Lineage: Bacteria
Description: bacterial SSU rRNA
Rfam family: Bacterial small subunit ribosomal RNA
Source: RNAcentral
AGGGUUUGAUCAUGGCUCAGAACGUACGCUGGCGGCACGCCUAACACAUGCAAGUCGAACGAAGUAGCAAUACUUAGUGGCAGACGGGUGAGUAACAUGUAGGUAUCUGCCCUUUGGCCUGGAAUAACACGAGGAAACUUGUGCUAAUACCGGAUAAGUCUUUACGGAGAAAGCUUUAUGCACCAUUGGAUGAGCCUGCACUUGAUUAGUUUGUUGGUGGGGUAAUGGCCUACCAAGACUGUGAUCAAUAGCUGAUUUGAGAGGAUGAUCAGCCACAUUGGGACUGAGACACGGCCCAAACUCCUACGGGAGGCAGCAGUGGGGAAUCUUGCACAAUGGAGGAAACUCUGAUGCAGCGAUGCCGCGUGAGUGAAGAAGGCCCUUGGGUUGUAAAGCUCUUUCGUCGGGGAAGAAAAUGACUGUACCCGAAUAAGAAGGUCCGGCUAACUUCGUGCCAGCAGCCGCGGUAAUACGAAGGGACCUAGCGUAGUUCGGAAUUACUGGGCUUAAAGAGUUCGUAGGUGGUUGAAAAAGUUAGUGGUGAAAUCCCAGAGCUUAACUCUGGAACUGCCAUUAAAACUUUUCAGCUAGAGUAUGAUAGAGGAAAGCAGAAUUUCUAGUGUAGAGGUGAAAUUCGUAGAUAUUAGAAAGAAUACCAAUUGCGAAGGCAGCUUUCUGGAUCAUUACUGACACUGAGGAACGAAAGCAUGGGUAGCGAAGAGGAUUAGAUACCCUCGUAGUCCAUGCCGUAAACGAUGUGUGUUAGACGUUGGAAAUUUAUUUUCAGUGUCGCAGCGAAAGCGAUAAACACACCGCCUGGGGAGUACGACCGCAAGGUUAAAACUCAAAUGAAUUGACGGGGACCCGCACAAGUAGUGGAGCAUGUGGUUUAAUUCGAAGAUACGCGCAGAACCUUACCAACACUUGACAUGUUCGUCGCGACUCUAAGAGAUUAGAGUUUUCGGUUCGGCCGGACGAAACACAGGUGCUGCAUGGCUGUCGUCAGCUCGUGUCGUGAGAUGUUGGGUUAAGUCCCGCAACGAGCGCAACCCUCACUUUUAGUUGCCAUCAUUAAGUUGGGCACUCUGAAAGAACUGCCAGUGAUAAGCUGGAGGAAGGUGGGGAUGACGUCAAGUCCUCAUGGCCCUUACGUGUUGGGCUACACACGUGCUACAAUGGUAUCUACAACAGGAAGCAAGACUGCGAAGUUAAGCAAAUCCCUAAAAGAUACCUCAGUUCGGAUUGCACUCUGCAACUCGAGUGCAUGAAGCUGGAAUUACUAGUAAUCGUGGAUCAGCGUGCCACGGUGAAUGCGUUCCCGGGUCUUGUACACACCGCCCGUCACACCAUGGGAGUUGGUUCUACCUUAAGGCAAGGUUUUAAACCCUUGACCACGGUAUAGUCAGCGACUGGGGUGAAGUCGUAACAAGGUAGCCGUA